CAGUCGAGCGGACUUGAUGGAGAGCUUGCUCUCCUGAUGGUUAGCGGCGGACGGGUGAGUAACACGUAGGCAACCUGCCUGCAAGACCGGGAUAACCCACGGAAACGUGAGCUAAUACCGGAUAUCUCAUUUCCUCUCCUGAGGGAAUGAUGAAAGACGGAGCAAUCUGUCACUUGCGGAUGGGCCUGCGGCGCAUUAGCUAGUUGGUGAGGUAACGGCUCACCAAGGCGACGAUGCGUAGCCGACCUGAGAGGGUGAACGGCCACACUGGGACUGAGACACGGCCCAGACUCCUACGGGAGGCAGCAGUAGGGAAUCUUCCGCAAUGGGCGAAAGCCUGACGGAGCAACGCCGCGUGAGUGAUGAAGGUUUUCGGAUCGUAAAGCUCUGUUGCCAGGGAAGAACGUCCGAUAGAGUAACUGCUAUCGGAGUGACGGUACCUGAGAAGAAAGCCCCGGCUAACUACGUGCCAGCAGCCGCGGUAAUACGUAGGGGGCAAGCGUUGUCCGGAAUUAUUGGGCGUAAAGCGCGCGCAGGCGGUCAUUUAAGUCUGGUGUUUAAGGCCAAGGCUCAACCUUGGUUCGCACUGGAAACUGGGUGACUUGAGUGCAGAAGAGGAGAGUGGAAUUCCACGUGUAGCGGUGAAAUGCGUAGAUAUGUGGAGGAACACCAGUGGCGAAGGCGACUCUCU
This 691-nucleotide ribosomal RNA is filed under the name Paenibacillus cineris. RNAcentral describes it as "bacterial SSU rRNA". It matches the Rfam family "Bacterial small subunit ribosomal RNA", at positions 59 to 730 of the family's 1533-position model. The record is from RNAcentral. Lineage: Bacteria; Bacillati; Bacillota; Bacilli; Caryophanales; Paenibacillaceae.